UCCGGUUUAACACCGGCAGUCUCGCUAGGGUACCCAACUUAAUGAUGGUAACUAACGAUAAGGGUUGCGCUCGUUAUUGGACUUAACCAGACAUCUUACGACACGAGCUGACGACAGCCAUGCAGCACCUAUCACCAGGUCCCCGAAGGGACACAUACAUCUCUGCAUGCUUCCUGGGAUGUUAAGGGUAGGUAAGGUUCUGCGCGUUGCUUCGAAUUAAACCACAUACUCCACCGCUUGUGCGGGUCCCCGUCAAUUUCUUUGAGUUUUAGCCUUGCGACCGUACUCCCCAGGCGGGAUACUUAACGCGUUAGCUUUAGUACUCAGGGGGUUAAUUCCCUAAACACCUA
RNAcentral lists this unclassified non-coding RNA (350 nucleotides) under uncultured Oligoflexaceae bacterium. RNAcentral describes it as "contains 16S-23S intergenic spacer region". The record is from RNAcentral. Lineage: Bacteria; Pseudomonadati; Bdellovibrionota; Oligoflexia; Oligoflexales; Oligoflexaceae.